CUGUAUUUCCAUGCAAGUCGAGCGGGGUACGGAGCUUGCUUCCCGACGAGUGGCGAACGGGUGAGUAAUACAUCGGAACGUGCCGUGUAGUGGGGGAUAUCGUGGCGAAAGUCUUCUAAUACCGCAUACGAACCACGGAUGAAAGCAGGGGACCUUCGGUCCUUGCGCUAUUCGGGCGGACGAUGUCUUAUUAGUUAGUUGGUGAGGUGAAGGCUCACCAGGUUGACGAUCAGUAGCGGGGCUGAUAGGAUGACCCGCCACACUGGUACUGAGACACGGCCCAUACUCCUACUGUCUGGUGUUGUGGAUAAUCUUGUACAAUGGGAGCA
Molecule: ribosomal RNA, 329 nt
Filed under: uncultured bacterium
Lineage: Bacteria
Description: bacterial SSU rRNA
Rfam family: Bacterial small subunit ribosomal RNA
Source: RNAcentral